This 498-nucleotide ribosomal RNA is filed under the name uncultured bacterium. RNAcentral's name for it is "partial 16S ribosomal RNA". It matches the Rfam family "Bacterial small subunit ribosomal RNA", at positions 28 to 523 of the family's 1533-position model. The record is from RNAcentral.
GAUGAACGCUGGCGGCGUGCUUAACACAUGCAAGUCGAACGGCAGCAUGGUCUGUAGCAAUGCAGAUUGAUGGCGAGUGGCGGACGGGUGAGUAACGCGUAGGAAUCUGCCCUGUAGAGGGGGACAACCCGGGGAAACCCGGGCUAAUACCGCAUAGACUCUGAGGAGGAAAGGAAGUGGCAACACUUUCGCUAUGGGAGGAGCCUGCGUCUGAUUAGCUAGUUGGUAGGGUAAGAGCCUACCGAGGCGAUGAUCGGUAGCUGGUCUGAGAGGAUGACCGGCCACACUGGGACUGAGACACGGCCCAGACUCCUAGCGGAGGCAGCAGUGGGGAAUAUUGGACAAUGGGGGCAACCCUGAUCCAGCAAUGCCGCGUGUGUGAAGAAGGCCUUCGGGUUGUAAAGCACUUUAGGCGGGGAAGAAGGUGUGGUGAAGAGCCACAUUUGACGGUACCCGCAGAAUAAGCACCGGCUAACUCUGUGCCAGCCGCCGCAGUAA